GAUUUCUGGGCAUCAGUUUCUGGCCAGCCACGGUUUCGUGUGUUAGUGCUUGAAACUUUGUCCAUCCUUCCAAUUGCUAUCCACUGAUCUUCAUUGAUUGGCGGGUAGUAUUGGAUCUUUUACUUUGAAAAAAUUAGAGUGUUUCAAGCAGGCUUUAUGCUAUGAAUACAUUAGCAUGGAAUAAUAAUUUAGGACUUCGGUUCUAUUUUGUUGGUUUCUAGGACUGAAGUAAUGAUUGAUAGGGAUAGUUGGGGGUGCUAGUAUUCAGCGGCCAGAGGUGAAAUUCUCGGAUUCGCUGAAGACUAACUUAUGCGAAAGCAUU
This 322-nucleotide ribosomal RNA is filed under the name uncultured Cercomonas. RNAcentral describes it as "bacterial SSU rRNA". It matches the Rfam family "Eukaryotic small subunit ribosomal RNA", at positions 634 to 955 of the family's 1831-position model. The record is from RNAcentral. Lineage: Eukaryota; Cercozoa; Cercomonadida; Cercomonadidae.